This 253-nucleotide ribosomal RNA is filed under the name uncultured bacterium. Its description in RNAcentral is "partial 16S ribosomal RNA". It matches the Rfam family "Bacterial small subunit ribosomal RNA", at positions 524 to 776 of the family's 1533-position model. The record is from RNAcentral.
UACGUAGGGGGCAAGCGUUAUCCGGAUUCACUGGGCGUAAAGGGAGCGCAGGCGGCACGGUAAGUCUGAUGUGAAAGCCCGGGGCUCAACCCCGGGACUGCAUUGGAAACUGCCGAGCUUGAGUGUCGGAGGGGCAGGCGGAAUUCCUAGUGUAGCGGUGAAAUGCGUAGAUAUUAGGAGGAACACCAGCGGCGAAGGCGGCCUGCUGGACGACAACUGACGCUGAGGCUCGAAAGCGUGGGGAGCAAACAGG